Molecule: ribosomal RNA, 499 nt
Filed under: uncultured Glomeromycotina
Lineage: Eukaryota; Fungi; Glomeromycota
Description: partial small subunit ribosomal RNA
Rfam family: Eukaryotic small subunit ribosomal RNA
Source: RNAcentral
CCAAUAGCGUAUAUUAAAGUUGUUGCAGUUAAAAAGCUCGUAGUUGAAUUUCGGGAUCAAAUUGUCGGUCGUGCCUCGGUACGAACUGGUAUCAUUGGUUCCUCCCUUCUGAAGAACCGCGAUGUCAUUAAUUUGGUGUCGUGGGGAAUCAGGACUGUUACUUUGAAAAAAUUAGAGUGUUUAAAGCAGGCGCACGCUUGAAUACAUUAGCAUGGAAUAAUGAAAUAGGACGUUUGAUUCUAUUUUGUUGGUUUCUAGGAUUGACGUAAUGAUUAAUAGGGAUAGUUGGGGGCAUUAGUAUUCAAUUGUCAGAGGUGAAAUUCUUGGAUUUAUUGAAGACUAACUACUGCGAAAGCAUUUGCCAAGGAUGUUUUCAUUAAUCAAGAACGAAAGUUAGGGGAUCGAAGACGAUCAGAUACCGUCGUAGUCUUAACCAUAAACUAUGCCGACUAGGGAUCGGAUGAUGUUAAUUUUUUAAUGACUCAUUCGGCGCCUUACG